UAGGGAAUAUUGCGCAAUGGAGGAAACUCUGACGCAGCGACGCCGCGUGAGCGAUGAAGGCUUUCGGGUCGUAAAGCUCUGUCGGGAGGGACGAAACACGAUUUGGCUAACAUCCAAGUCGCUUGACGGUACCUCCAGAGGAAGCACCGGCUAACUACGUGCCAGCAGCCGCGGUAAUACGUAGGGUGCUAGCGUUGUUCGGAAUUAUUGGGCGUAAAGAGCGUGUAGGUGGUUUUGUAAGUCGGAUGUGAAAUCCCUGGGCUUAACCGAGGAAGUGCAUCUGAAACUACAUGGCUAGAGGAUGGCAGAGGGAAGUGGAAUUCCUAGUGUAGAGGUGAAAUUCGUAGAUAUUAGGAGGAAUACCGGUGGCGAAGGCGGCUUCCUGGACCAUUCCUGACACUGAGACGCGAAAGCGUGGGUAGCAAACAGGAUUAGAUACCCCAGUAGUCCCUGAGCGGGCUGGCAAGGCGCAU
This 473-nucleotide ribosomal RNA is filed under the name uncultured bacterium. Its description in RNAcentral is "bacterial SSU rRNA". It matches the Rfam family "Bacterial small subunit ribosomal RNA", at positions 355 to 825 of the family's 1533-position model. The record is from RNAcentral.